CUGCCUUUCCUCAGGCUGUGCCUUUAUUGCUUCCGCUCACACCUGGAAUAGGAUUUGAGUGGAAAUGUGAUUGGAGUAGAAGGCAUCAGGGAGGGAGCCUGAGCUGAGACCACAUCUUGAAAACACAGAAUUGAGGGAGCAGAUGGAAGAAAGAAAGUCAGCAGGCUUGGAGGAUGAUGAUAACCCAAAGAAGAUUAAGGUGCUGGUGGAGGAGCUGGAUGACCUGUCCUGACCCACGACCCUGAACCUCAGCCAGAUUGCAGCCUCUCAGAACCAGUGCUUGGACUCCAUGUUGGCUCCAAGCCCUCAACACUGCCAAAGUCUCCAGAGGAAACAGCUGGUGUCACAGCUACUGACUGUGUCCUGGCCAGCUGCAGAAAUAAAGAGAUUUCAGGUAUACAUCAUUAUAACUUGACUUCUGUAUAUACUACAUCGUGUUCACCACCAAAAGGUUUCCAUUCGCUACCAUACAAAUGGAUGGAUUUUAAAGUCAUUAUGCUACAUGAAGGAACGCAGACAUGAAAGAAUACAGUGAUCUUCUUACCACUUGUUGUGAGCCUAUGAUG
Molecule: long non-coding RNA, 566 nt
Filed under: Equus asinus (donkey)
Lineage: Eukaryota; Metazoa; Chordata; Mammalia; Perissodactyla; Equidae
Description: lncRNA (ENSEASG00005036992.1)
Source: RNAcentral